Molecule: long non-coding RNA, 726 nt
Organism: Amborella trichopoda
Lineage: Eukaryota; Viridiplantae; Streptophyta; Magnoliopsida; Amborellales; Amborellaceae
Source: RefSeq, a predicted model, not a curated record
UUGUGAGGGUUUUUACCGAUAUUGUCAUGGCCUUGGUUUAUGGAGGAUUAGGGUUCCCAUUUCGUGUGUUGUUUCAGGGAGGAAAAGAUCUAGGGCUUCGUCAUCUCAGCAUGAUUUCAGAGGAAGAAUUGGGGUUUCACCCAAUCAUCGUAGCUCUCAUCAUUGGAUCCCAGUUCAGAAGCGGAAUUUACGAGAGGAAAGCUUCUCAGCGAACUGUGUACAUGGAAAAUAGGUGGCCCUUCUGAUUUUUUCUGCGAGUUUUAUGAUGAAUCCCAGCUCAUAUCUUCAAUCAGGGAUGUUGACAGGAGAGGUGAUUGGAAAGCCAAGACUUCAAAGGUUAUUGAAUGGGAGAUGCCAAAGCUUUAGAUGUGCUUGCGAAUGUCUUGGGACUCGACUCUGAACGAGACACAUGCACUUAUUAAGAUUUUUAAAGCUCAAGUUUACAGAGUUUGGCACAAGAGAUGACAGAAUAAGUAAUAUUGACGUACAUGUAAUUACCAGUAUUAUCUAUGAGUUUUCCUGCUUGAGAGUAAAUCUUUUCUGGUCAUAUGUAUUUGUAUCAAAUUAGUACUGUAAUAUUGCUAUUGACUUCCAGAGGCUUCCGCACAUUGUGAGUUCUUUCUAUCUGCACAGCUUGUAGCUCAUCAGUUUUUAGCGAGUUUUGCCACAUACUGUAAAUUGUACACCAUUAAUAGUGGAAAUGGAGUCCUUCAAGGUUAAACUCUA